RNAcentral lists this long non-coding RNA (1059 nucleotides) under Gossypium barbadense (sea-island cotton). Its description in RNAcentral is "long non-coding RNA (GBAR_LNC014299)". The record is from RNAcentral. Lineage: Eukaryota; Viridiplantae; Streptophyta; Magnoliopsida; Malvales; Malvaceae.
UUCAUGUUUUAUUUUCGUCAUAGAGUCGAUGUCGCUACACAUUAGGACCUAUGUCACGACAUAACAAUUAGUAUACUCCGCUGCAGCUAUCUUCAGGGGUAUGUCGUGACACCCUCAACCUAUGUCACAAAAUCGAAGGCAGUCUUGAGUUUUCUUCAUUCUACUACCUAUGUUACGUCAUCAAGUUAUCCGUGUUGCGACAUACCAACCAACAGCCGUUUAGUGCACCUUCUAAUGGUCUCCUGCACACUCACAAAGUGUGUUAACUCACCCUUAGGCCUCAUUUGAACCCUAUGGUCAAUAAAAGACUCAAUUUAUACAUUUUAUUGAAUGUAAAUAAAACUAUGAAAACUUAACUAAAACAUAACAAAAAUACUUGUAUUCAAGCUCCUUAAAUGUGAAAAAUAGUUUAACCUACUACACCGAAUUACAACAGACCAGUUACCCCCACACUUUAUUUGGCACAUUGUCCCUAAUGUAUGACCAAGAGAUAGGAAAAGAGACUACCCAGUUUAAGCAUUGGUUUCCAUGGAUGUAGUCAGGUUGUCCUCCUCGUGCUAGUUUAGCUCCAAUUGUAGUGUGGCCACUAGUUGGGGCACUUCCAUUGAUUCUGGGAGCCCAUGGUCUUUGAAAUACUCCCUAUGUAUGGCCACUUGUUCAUUUUUCCACUCUACCUGACCGGCUUGAAGGCUGCAGAACCGCUUGUAAAUAAUAUUGUUAAGCACACCUUUUGGUGGACAAGUCAGUUUUUCAGAUUAAAUUGUCGUGCCAUCCCUCUACACAUUAAUGUGAUCAGGUGCUGGUAUGAAAGUCCUCGUAUGUGCCCUCUAGCACAUUACCGUAUGUUUGCGAGGAUCUGGUCUCUCACGCUAAUUUGUCAACCCUGCAAGAUAGCGUACAAGAAAAGAGCAUGAUCACUGGUAACUUUUGUGAUGUGUUGAGCCGAAAAAAAUUUGCAUAAAUAAAAUACAUCCACAUCUUGGCUUCCAAGGUCAUAAUUGAAUGCUGAAAUCAAAAUGGCUCCCGAGUUAUCAACUUUCAAGUCUAGGUGCCUUAACC